AAACAGCUUAUUGGGAGGUGCGGGGAGGGAGAGGGGGUGCUGAUCGGCGGGGCUGACGGUGGGCGGGAGGCACUGGGAGCGGAGGGGGGGCGGUACCAGUGAAAAUUCAGAUUCCGUUUGCUCAAUGCACAGCAGUUUAUUGGAGAAUCACAUAAGCAGUAAAAGGUUGUUGUGUGCAGCACCAAUAUCACCGUAAUGUGCGGCACCAGUACAAACAAAACCCCCUAGAUAUCUAUUUGUAAACAGUUUAUAGCUCUGGAAGAAAGAAUAUUAAAACAAGGAAUAAUUAAGGAGGGGCUCGGCUUAAGAUGUUUAUUUAAUAUGAAAUCAAAUAAAAAGAAAGUUGGAGUACAUGGAUUUUAUCAUCCUUUCUAACAACUCAAGCUUGUAAACACACCAAAAUGGGGCACACUGAAAACAGCUAUGUAAAUAAAACAAAGACAUGGCCAUUAAGUGAAAGCAUAAAAAAUAUGCCCCAGAGGCCCAGUUGAAUAAUCUUCUCCUACCAUCGAGCACUAAACCUUCAGGGAAAGCUGCUCUUGAAAAAUGAAGCAUCUGCCAACACACUAGCACGUUAUGGACUUUUGCAGGUCACAAAACUGUCCUCUUGCAUGCACAUUAUCUGCACACACCGCUCAGCUUUAAGAUGCUAAACAACUCUCUGAGUCAACUAGAAAUAGUCACGCUCUCAUCGCAAAUAUUAACACAAUCUUUUCUGAUGCUGGAAAGGACAGUAAAAGGCAUUCACUCAGACUUAUACAAUUUCUCUGGGAUGUCAACUUGUAAUGUGAUUAAUAUGUCACACACGUUGAACAGUAACAAUAAGUAAUAAAGCAACACAGAGAGCAACAGACCCACAAACAAACAAGUGACACCACUGAGAAUACGAAGGGAAGAAAAACAUCAAGUGGUUGGUUAUGGGGAUUUUACAUGAGUGUUUAGGACCCACGCUGUGCAAGUGCAACAGAGCCCUGUACAAACAGGCAAAGUUCUCCUGGUUUCACAUUGUGUGUGUGUGUCACCAACUCAGAGUCGACUCAUUAAGUUUUUGCAAGCCCCAGAGCACAUUAACACAUGACCUCAGAGUUUGCAGACAGAUCCCCGCUUCAAAGAGUUUGCAGGUAAGGUCUUUAUCCUACAAAACACGUAGCACCAAACCUAGUACUACUUGCUCCUUAUGAGUCAAUGGAAGUACUCUGAAGAGCCAGAACUAUACCAGCUAGCAAAGAUCUGGCCUUAAUGGUUCCCAAUACCUCUCCCCAAACAAAAGUCAUGGAAAUCGCUUGUCUGGAGGCGUCUCUCUGGCCACCAGCAGGGUGACAAGUGAUCUCCAUUCAGUUGUAGAAUUUGUUUGGGGAGAGGAUGGGAGGAACAGACUGAGGAGUGCAGGGGGUUGGUAAGCGGCGCAGAAGCUGCUGCGCG
This 1422-nucleotide long non-coding RNA is filed under the name Chrysemys picta bellii (western painted turtle). RNAcentral's name for it is "lncRNA (ENSCPBG00000005622.1)". Lineage: Eukaryota; Metazoa; Chordata; Testudines; Emydidae. The record is from RNAcentral.